CCUACGGGUGGCAGCAGUGAGGAAUAUUGGUCAAUGGGCUUACGCCUGAACCAGCCAAGUCGCGUGAGUGAAGAAGUAUUUCGGUAUGUAAAGCUCUAUCAGCAGGGAAGAAAGAAAUGACGGUACCUGACUAAGAAGCCCCGGCUAACUACCUGCCAGCAGCCGCGGUAAUACGUAGGGGGCAAGCGUUAUCCGGAAUUAAUGGGUGUAAAGGGAGCGUAGACGGCGAUGCAAGUCUGAAGUGAAAGGCGGGGGCCCAACCCCCGGAAUGCCUUGGAAACUGUAUGGCUGGAGUGCGGGAGAGGUAAGUGGAAUGCGUAGUGUAGCGGUGAAAUGCGUAGAUAUUAGGAGGAACACCAGUGGCGAAGGCGGCUUACUGGCCUGUAACUGACGUUGAGGCUCGAAAGCGUGGGGAGCAAACAGGAUUAGAUACCCGUGUAGUC
RNAcentral lists this ribosomal RNA (443 nucleotides) under uncultured bacterium. RNAcentral describes it as "partial 16S ribosomal RNA". It matches the Rfam family "Bacterial small subunit ribosomal RNA", at positions 338 to 795 of the family's 1533-position model. The record is from RNAcentral.